Molecule: microRNA precursor, 80 nt
Filed under: Chlorocebus sabaeus (green monkey)
Lineage: Eukaryota; Metazoa; Chordata; Mammalia; Primates; Cercopithecidae
Description: miRNA (ENSCSAG00000021263.1)
Source: RNAcentral
CCAGACUAUCAGUCCAGGGCUUAGUCAGCGGGGCCCAGAGUGGCUUCCCUGGCUGGCACCUGGACUUAGGCUAUUUCUGU